RNAcentral lists this unclassified non-coding RNA (212 nucleotides) under plant metagenome. RNAcentral describes it as "partial contains small subunit ribosomal RNA, internal transcribed spacer 1, and 5.8S ribosomal RNA". The record is from RNAcentral.
UUUCCGUAGGUGAACCUGCGGAAGGAUCAUUCAUAAUAAGUGUUUUAUGGCACUUUUUUAAAUCCAUAUCCACCUUGUGUGCAAUGUCAGGUUGAUUUUUCUCUCGAGAGGAUCAGCCCCAAACAUCAACUAUAUCUCAACUCUUUGUCUGAAAAAUAUUAUGAAUAAAACAAUUCAAAAUACAACUUUCAACAACGGAUCUCUUGGCUCUC